Molecule: transfer RNA, 84 nt
Filed under: Monostroma nitidum
Lineage: Eukaryota; Viridiplantae; Chlorophyta; Ulvophyceae; Ulvales; Monostromataceae
Also listed under: 1 other name
Description: tRNA-Ile
Rfam family: tRNA
About the family: Transfer RNA (tRNA) molecules are approximately 80 nucleotides in length. Their secondary structure includes four short double-helical elements and three loops (D, anti-codon, and T loops).
Source: RNAcentral
GCAUCUGUGGCCGAGGGGUUGAUGGCAACGGGCUCAUAAUCCGUCUUUUUUUAAACACCGUGGGUUCGAAUCCCGCCAGAUGCA